GGCGAACGCUGGCGGUAGGCCUAACACAUGCAAGUCGAACGGCAGCACAGUAAGAGCUUGCUCUUACGGGUGGCGAGUGGCGGACGGGUGAGGAAUACAUCGGAAUCUACUUUUUCGUGGGGGAUAACGUAGGGAAACUUACGCUAAUACCGCAUACGACCUACGGGUGAAAGCAGGGGAUCUUCGGACCUUGCGCGAUUGAAUGAGCCGAUGUUGGAUUAGCUAGUUGGCGGGGUAAAGGCCCACCAAGGCGACGAUCCGUAGCUGGUCUGAGAGGAUGGUCAGCCGCCUUGGAGCGGAGACAGCGUCCAUGCUCCUGCGGGAGGCAGCAGUGGGGAAUAUGGGACAAUGGGGGCAAACCUUGUCCAGCCAUACCGCGUGGGUGGAGAAGGCGUUCGGGUUGGAAAGCCCUUUUGUUGGGAAAGAAAAGCAGCAGGUUAAUACCCCGCUGUUCUGACGGUACCCAAAGAAUAAGCACCGGCUAACUUCGUG
RNAcentral lists this ribosomal RNA (492 nucleotides) under uncultured bacterium. Its description in RNAcentral is "partial 16S ribosomal RNA". It matches the Rfam family "Bacterial small subunit ribosomal RNA", at positions 28 to 507 of the family's 1533-position model. The record is from RNAcentral.